GCUGUGGCGGUUCAGUGUAGAAUUCUUGCCUUGCGUGCAAGAGACGUGGGUUCAAUUCCCAGUCAAUGUU
This 70-nucleotide transfer RNA is filed under the name Loxodonta africana (African savanna elephant). It matches the Rfam family "tRNA". Rfam says of the family: Transfer RNA (tRNA) molecules are approximately 80 nucleotides in length. Their secondary structure includes four short double-helical elements and three loops (D, anti-codon, and T loops). The record is from Rfam by way of RNAcentral. Lineage: Eukaryota; Metazoa; Chordata; Mammalia; Proboscidea; Elephantidae.